This 253-nucleotide ribosomal RNA is filed under the name uncultured bacterium. RNAcentral's name for it is "partial 16S ribosomal RNA". It matches the Rfam family "Bacterial small subunit ribosomal RNA", at positions 524 to 776 of the family's 1533-position model. The record is from RNAcentral.
UACGGAGGGUGCAAACGUUGCUCGGAAUCAUUGGGCGUAAAGCGCACGUAGGCGGCUCGUUAAGUCGGAUGUGAAAGCCCCGGGCUCAACCCGGGAAGUGCAUUCGAAACUGGCGAGCUUGAAUAUGGAAGAGGGUCGCGGAAUUCCCGGUGUAGAGGUGAAAUUCGUAGAUAUCGGGAGGAACACCAGUGGCGAAGGCGGCGACCUGGGCCAAUAUUGACGCUCAGGCACGAAAGCGUGGGGAGCAAACAGG